Molecule: ribosomal RNA, 459 nt
Filed under: uncultured bacterium
Lineage: Bacteria
Description: partial 16S ribosomal RNA
Rfam family: Bacterial small subunit ribosomal RNA
Source: RNAcentral
CCUACGUGAGGCAGCAGUGAGGCAUAUUGGUCAAUGGCCGAGAGGCUGAACCAGCCAAGUCGCGUGAGGGAAGACGGCCCUACGGGUUGUAAACCUCUUUUGUCGGGGAGCAAAGAGAGUCACGUGUGACUCCUUGACAGUACCCGAAGAAAAAGCAUCGGCUAACUCCGUGCCAGCAGCCGCGGUAAUACGGAGGAUGCGAGCGUUCUCCGGAUUUAUUGGGUUAAAAGGGUGCGCAGGCGGAGGGUGAAGUCAGCGGUCAACUUGCGGGGCUCAACCCCGUACUGCCGUUGAAACUGGACGCCUUGAGUUCACAACAGGCAGGCGGAAGUCGUGGUGUAGCGGUGAAAUGCAUAGAUAUCACGAGGAACCCCGAUUGCGAAGGCAGCCUGCCGGGGUGCGACUGACGCUGAGGCUCGAAGGUGCGGGUAUCAAACAGGAUUAGAUACCCGAGUAGUC